RNAcentral lists this long non-coding RNA (1368 nucleotides) under Serinus canaria (Common canary). RNAcentral describes it as "lncRNA (ENSSCAG00000006637.1)". The record is from RNAcentral. Lineage: Eukaryota; Metazoa; Chordata; Aves; Passeriformes; Fringillidae.
AGACAGGGAAAGUAAUUCUCUUUAAUUAUUCUUAGAGCAAUUUUGAGUAAUGUAGGUUAAAUUAAAAAAAUAUACAAGCAAGAUAUUUUGGCUGGGAAGUAUGUGUAAUGUAUGAACAGCAGGAAAAAAAAAAGCCUUCCUUUCUAAAUAGAAAAUCUUUGAAAGUAACAGGGGGAAACGGAUGGGAAGGGCUGAAGUCCAUAUAUUCCCACCUCCUCCGCCUUGUGCUCUCUUAAAGGUGAGCUGCAAAAUGCAAAAGAGAAAUGUGUUAAAUUCAGAUGACUCGCUCGGGUGUCAGGAAGUGGCUCGAACAACCACACGAAGUUAACUAACACAUUCCCUUUUUUUUUUUGUUCAUCCCCUCCCUCCCCUGCUCUUCUCGUGAAAUCUAGUUUUUUGCUGCUGUGGUUUCUGCCUCCAGGCGGGAGCGCAGCCACUUGUCCACCCGAGCAGCACCCUGAGACCCCCCCAUGGCUUUCAGGGAGCCAAGAAUUUGUGGGAGGAUCUUCCAGAAAGUAAGAAAGGAGGAGAUUUUUAGAAAAUGUAUUCCUGAUCUAAACAGCCUGGCUGCAGGAGAAAUGAGAUAAACUCUGAGGGAUGGCAUGUUGAGCUUGUGUUGCUUUGCUGCUCAUCUUUUGUCUGAUUAAUCCAUCUUAUUAUCAUCCACCUGCUCUGUUCUAGGUCUUCUUCAGCAACAUGGUUGAUGCCAUUCAUGGAGUUGAGUAUCCUGGUCUCAGGAACUCAAAAUGCACUGAAGGAGCAAAACUGCAACCCACCCAAUGCAAUUCCUAUAAACACAAUGUGCCAAGGUUUCCAACAAGCACCAGCUCUGGUAACCACAAUCAUUGCCAUUCCAUGCCUUACUGAAAACUGGUCAGGAUGGUUUUGGAGAACUGGACAGCCCCUGAUCUUUCUGAGGAAGGAAAAAGGAGCUCAGCUGAGGUAUGUUUUUACACAGAGUGAGGUUAUCUUUGCUCCUCUGUCUUGUAUACAGAUGCUGAUCUGCAAAACCCAGCCCUGCUCUGGUCUGCAUGUCCCACUCUCUGUUUUGGGAGGGGAGAAGGGAAUGAGCUCAGGUGUGGGAGGGCUGAGUUGAGGCCAUGAUUAUUGGGGAAAACAUUAACAUGGAGCUCAUAGAGAGAAACAAGUUUGAUGCCCCAACUGAAAACUUAACCACCAAGCACUUGGUCUCAAGUGGAGACCAAGUGCUUGAUAAAAUGGAUCAUUUUAUUCUCAGAAAGUGGGGCAUAAAUAGAGUUAAUUGUGACCAGAACCCACAGCAAUAACCUGUUUAUGGGAAAACUCUAGUCCUAGUCUAGAAGAGCCAUAAUCUUACCCUGCCAUCUGAAAUUUGUUUCUUUAUUAAGA